ACGGGUGAGGAAUACAUCGGAAUCUACCUUUUCGUGGGGGAUAACGUAGGGAAACUUACGCUAAUACCGCAUACGACCUACGGGUGAAAGCAGGGGAUCUUCGGACCUUGCGCGAUUGAAUGAGCCGAUGUCGGAUUAGCUAGUUGGCGGGGUAAAGGCCCACCAAGGCGACGAUCCGUAGCUGGUCUGAGAGGAUGAUCAGCCACACUGGAACUGAGACACGGUCCAGACUCCUACGGGAGGCAGCAGUGGGGAAUAUUGGACAAUGGGCGCAAGCCUGAUCCAGCCAUACCGCGUGGGUGAAGAAGGCCUUCGGGUUGUAAAGCCCUUUUGUUGGGAAAGAAAUCCAGCCGGCUAAUACCUGGUUGGGAUGACGGUACCCAAAGAAUAAGCACCGGCUAACUUCGUGCCAGCAGCCGCGGUAAUACGAAGGGUGCAAGCGUUACUCGGAAUUACUGGGCGUAAAGCGUGCGUAGGUGGUUGUUUAAGUCUGUUGUGAAAGCCCUGGGCUCAACCUGGGAACUGCAGUGGAAACUGGACAACUAGAGUGUGGUAGAGGGUAGCGGAAUUCCCGGUGU
RNAcentral lists this ribosomal RNA (578 nucleotides) under uncultured Stenotrophomonas sp. RNAcentral's name for it is "bacterial SSU rRNA". It matches the Rfam family "Bacterial small subunit ribosomal RNA", at positions 102 to 676 of the family's 1533-position model. Lineage: Bacteria; Pseudomonadati; Pseudomonadota; Gammaproteobacteria; Lysobacterales; Lysobacteraceae. The record is from RNAcentral.